UACUUCCUUGAUUUAUUAAUGAAGAGGUUGGUGAGUUGAAGCUGCAGCGUUGUGUGUGUUUGACCAACCAGGGACGGUCAUCCCUGCAAACCCCACCUCAGAAGUUCCUAUACUUUCAGAAAGCACUACCCUCCAGUCAGGGACUUUUUUGGGGGGGUAAAAUAAUGUCCCUGGAACUUCAUUUAAUCCCUGGUCCCUGUGGGCUAAACACAACGAGUUUCUCAGAAGGUUCCUGGUCCCUGCGGAAAGUCCCUGCAGCCUAAAAGAGCCUAAGACAUGGAUCAUAAAGGCUGAAAUACAUAAUACUAAUGAGGACUGAAACACUACCGCUGCAGAUUGAACUAGUUAUUAAAUAAACUGCAGUUCCAUGCAGUCACCCUUCAUUACCCAUUUUAUUCAGUCACCAUUAUGUUAGACAGAUACGUAGUUGUCUUCCUUACCCACUGGCUACAGUCUUCUUAUAGUGAGUUGCCAGUGGGUCAGCAAAUAAUUUCAAAGAAUGUGAACAGGCUUAACAUUUCUAAUAUAUGUUGAUACGUUUUUGCAUGUUUUCCUAUGUAAUAAUGAACAUUUGUUGCCUCUUCAAAUCCACUGGGGGAAAAAACAUUUAGUCAAAUGUUACAUUCCACUGUUGAACAGUUUGAGAUCCACCAGUUUACAGUAUGAGUAAAAGUUACACAGUCAUUUUGUUAACUGCACUACAAUGUACAUAGCUUUCUUUUGUCCAUGUCAUUGUAAAAUGGGCACAUUGUUGUUAGUGAUAUUUAUAACUUAGGGUGCUUUAACACUGGCAAACUUGUCUUCAGCCCAACCUACGCUGACUCAAUGAAAUCACUCGGGUAUUAAUCAGAUUUUACACAAAUCCCUUACUCACUCUAGAGACACAAAGGGCUCUUUAAACAACUUCUUUCACAUCUGCAGUAGUACUCAUCAACACCUGGAAACGCAGUUUGAUGUGCAAAAUCAGGGGACUCCCCUUUAAACCAUCUUUGUUACCACAGGUAGGAAAUACAUGCAUGUGGAUGUCUUCAUGACAUCAUUAAUGACAUUUUUAGUGAAGUGGAAAAAAAAAGGUGCUUGUUUUCACGCUUCUUUGCAGCCCACACAGGUGGUCGGGCUCCACUCGGUCAUGGUUACUUCUCUCUGCCAUUAUUCUCCAUUUCCGCCUGUCAUGCAUGUCAUGCAGCUUCAUAAAACAGGCACCAACCUUGUUUCCAGGCAACAGUGGUCCACAGCUGCUCUUUGAUGAGAAAAGCAUGACCACAGAUUGGAAAACCCGUUGGAGCAGCAGGCUUAGGACAAAGGGGGACAGUCAAAUUCAAGCUGAAUAUUCAAAAAAAAGCAAACCCAGUGUGAAAGUGGCCAAAGAAAUGUUGGCUCGAAGUGGUAGCUUAAAAUGCUGACGUCUUGUGCCAGCAUACGGCUCUGGUCAUUUGUGUGGCCACCACUCAGUGUGCUGUAUAUGUUACUAAUGUCAAACUAUAACAGUGUUACAUUUACUCAGCGAAUGGAAAAGUAGAAACCCUGUCACUCCAGAAGAAGUGGGCCCUCUCUUUCAACUAGAUAUACAGUAUGUCACUACAUAUCUGACCUGUCACCAUACACCCCUUAUACCAAAUCAGUCCCCUUUAAUAACAAUAGGGUGAACCUGAAUGCAGUGUCCAUUAAAAGAAGGCAUCCACUCACCGUGUCAGCUUUAACUGCAGGAAGUCACUGCCAGCACAUGUAGCAGCUAGCAACAGGGCCAGAAAUGGUCCGACACAGCACUCGGUCUCUCUUUUUCUGGUCACUGAGUGUGUGAAAUCUUCCUGAAAUGAACUGGCUUUAAAAGCUCUGAACACCCACUCAGGUUUUUCUUUCAGUUAAUCCGGCUGAUUAGACCUCUUCCCAGGACUGUGAGUGUGUAUAGACUGAUUGAUUGAUUGAUUGAUUGAUUGAUUAACAACUUUGUGAGUCUCCUGCUAGCUUUGUUGCACCUGUUAGGGCAGGACAAAUGACACCUUCAUCAUUCUUAUUUGUAGGUGAACAUUUGUGACGUAAUAAAUUCCCAUCAAAGCUCUGGCCCACCUUCACCCUGAGCUGAGGUCUAAUCAGCCAGAAUAACGGUUGUUUUCCAUUCUUUCACAAUCCUCGGUGGCUCAGAUCGAGUUCUCUCAUGGCUGGUUAAAUAGACAGAAGCCAUCUAAAUUCUCUAUACUACAUAUUAAUAGUAUGCAAGUUUAGCCAUCCUACAUGUUGAAUCAUAUACACUAACUCUAUUUAAUAUUCACUACAUAUUUGGACAUUUAACCAGUUGGGAUACAGCUUUUGUUUGUGCAUGCAGAUUAGAGAAGAGCAGUGAGGUUAUUCUGCAUCCUGUUCUGACAUAAUGAAUGUCAUCUCGUACAUUUACUCUCCAUAUAUGACGUGAAUGUCUUAUGUCAACUUAAGUCACCAUUAUUGAUAUGAGUUCAUGUUGCAUUAGUACACUUUCUGACAAGUAAAAUCUAUUUAUUUUUUUCUCCCCCAAAUUAGCUAACUUGGUUACAUUAACACAUGAUGUACCCUUGAGCAUGGCACUUAACUGCUCGACAACAGAUCAGUCUGAAUGUAUAAAUGUGAAUCAGAGCAGUAUACACUUUUCCAAAGUAUAUUGUGCCAUUGACUAAACUAUAAAUGAAAAGGAGGGUCACACAUACUGUAUUUGCAGGACACUGACAGUUAGCUACAUGUUGUGUUACUUAUAGGCCCAUUUGCACAUAUAGUUCAAUUGUUGAUGCUUGGUUAUAUUUUGUUUUUUAUUGUAAUUUAUUGUUAAUCUGUGUAUAUUGUGUUUUUAUAAUUAUUGAUGAUUUUAUUGCUACUUAACACUGUAACCAUAAGCAAGUACUGGAAUAUAGAUACUCUCCAUCCCUCUCAAUGUCUUUCAUCCUCAGGUUCUUUAAUAAAAAGUAAACCCCACAUUU
Molecule: long non-coding RNA, 2945 nt
Organism: Sander lucioperca (pikeperch)
Lineage: Eukaryota; Metazoa; Chordata; Actinopteri; Perciformes; Percidae
Exons: 2
Source: RefSeq, a predicted model, not a curated record